RNA transcript from Salvia miltiorrhiza (redroot sage), 1265 nucleotides. RefSeq lists it as uncharacterized. Lineage: Eukaryota; Viridiplantae; Streptophyta; Magnoliopsida; Lamiales; Lamiaceae. The transcript is spliced from 10 exons. The record is from RefSeq and is a predicted model, not a curated record.
AAGUUAUAACUUAUAAGGUUCAAAGUUCAAACUCUUGACCUCCUUUCAAAAACCAUCCUCAACCAAUUGCACCAAGAUUUAUAGUACUCCAUAAGAAAUGAAGGCAUACCUUUCAAUUUUUAUCCGAAAAAUACUUAAUAAACUCAAAAAAUUCAAAAUUAUAGCCUGAGUUAGAAACCUUCACCCCAUCUCAUCUCUCUUCACUGUUACGUUAAAUUCGAAACCAAUCUCAAAAUUAUUCGCCAUCGUCGAAUCCCCUACAAAACCCUCUGAUAUCUGUGCGUUUGCAGCUAUGGAGAGCGCUCUUUUGUGUGCUUCAUCUCGCUUCGUUUCUUCACAUUAUCACAACAAAGCUGAUGCUUUCAAAAGCAAUUUCGGAAGUAUGUCUACUGGAAAAUUGCUGUACAGUAAUUCCAUUUUCAAAAGAAAUACAGGAACAACACCAACAAGGCGUGCCCUUAUUUCUUCCGUGCUUGAUCGGAAGGCUAAGAAAGAGACUGUUGUUAUUCCGGAUCCUGAUUACCGAAUUCCAGUUGUGCUUUUCGGAAUGGCUGGUGGUCUUGUUUACGCCGAUAAUUUAGUAGCGGCAGUACCUGUUGGUCUUCUAGGGUUGCUCCUUCUAGUCCAGGCAACAAGAGUGAGAUUCGUCUUUGAUAAGGAUGCCCUGGAGGUAAAAGUUGGAGAUCAGCUUAAGGACUCAGGUGAAAAUGUUUUUGUGGGUGGAGAAAACCGGUGGAAAUAUUCAACAUUUGUCAACUGGGAGCUCUGGUGGCCUUCAUUCCCAAUCCUGGUUUAUUUUAAGGAGACACAAACAAAACCUGAAGGACAAAUCCAUUUUUUUCCAGUAAUUUUUAAUGGUAAACAACUCUAUAAUGCUUUAGUGGAAAGAUGUGGUCCUUCAAAAACUAGCGGACCCAAGUAAGCGUUACACAUAAGUUCACAGCUGAAAUGAGAUGGGCAUCUGUGAUCAAACAAUAGCAAGGCAGUGGUUCCAUCUAUGUCUGGAAGCAAUUGAGAAAAUGCACCAUAAGGUCCAUAACCUUCCCUCAUUGUAACAAGUCGUUUGUUACUUGUGUUGAUGUGUGUAGCAGAUAUGUAGCUAUGUAAACCUUUACUCAUCAUCCUGUUAACUAUAUAAUCUUGUAUAUAAUAUUUUAUAACUCGAUUGAUGUAGUUUUCUGCUCACAUUAUUUUGAGACAGAGACUCUGGUGUGAACUUUCCUCAAUUAAUGGUAAUUAUUAAUGAAAUAUUAAUUAGAGGUUAA